Molecule: ribosomal RNA, 484 nt
Filed under: uncultured bacterium
Lineage: Bacteria
Description: partial 16S ribosomal RNA
Rfam family: Bacterial small subunit ribosomal RNA
Source: RNAcentral
AUUGAACGCUGGCGGCAGGCCUAACACAUGCAAGUCGAGCGGAUGAAGGGAGCUUGCUCCUGGAUUCAGCGGCGGACGGGUGAGUAAUGCCUAGGAAUCUGCCUGGUAGUGGGGGAUAACGUCCGGAAACGGGCGCUAAUACCGCAUACGUCCUGAGGGAGAAAGUGGGGGAUCUUCGGACCUCACGCUAUCAGAUGAGCCUAGGUCGGAUUAGCUAGUUGGUGGGGUAAAGGCCUACCAAGGCGACGAUCCGUAACUGGUCUGAGAGGAUGAUCAGUCACACUGGAACUGAGACACGGUCCAGACUCCUACGGGAGGCAGCAGUGGGGAAUAUUGGACAAUGGGCGAAAGCCUGAUCCAGCCAUGCCGCGUAUGUGAAGAAGGUCUUCGGAUUGUAAAGCACUUUAAGUUGGGAGGAGGGGCAGUAAGUUAAUACCUUGCUGUUUUGACGUUACCAACAGAAUAAGCACCGGCUAACUUCGUG